This 82-nucleotide transfer RNA is filed under the name Schistocephalus solidus. It matches the Rfam family "tRNA". From Rfam's summary of the family: Transfer RNA (tRNA) molecules are approximately 80 nucleotides in length. Their secondary structure includes four short double-helical elements and three loops (D, anti-codon, and T loops). Lineage: Eukaryota; Metazoa; Platyhelminthes; Cestoda; Diphyllobothriidea; Diphyllobothriidae. The record is from Rfam by way of RNAcentral.
GGCCUCGUAGCUCAGUUGGCUAGAGCGUGGCUGUACUAAAGUCUUCCCCUUGCACGUGUGGGUUCGAAUCCCACCGAGGCCG